This 305-nucleotide ribosomal RNA is filed under the name Acinetobacter baumannii OIFC109. RNAcentral's name for it is "bacterial SSU rRNA". It matches the Rfam family "Bacterial small subunit ribosomal RNA", at positions 30 to 335 of the family's 1533-position model. Lineage: Bacteria; Pseudomonadati; Pseudomonadota; Gammaproteobacteria; Moraxellales; Moraxellaceae. The record is from RNAcentral.
AUUGAACGCUGGCGGCAGGCUUAACACAUGCAAGUCGAGCGGGGGAAGGUAGCUUGCUACCGGACCUAGCGGCGGACGGGUGAGUAAUGCUUAGGAAUCUGCCUAUUAGUGGGGGACAACAUCUCGAAAGGGAUGCUAAUACCGCAUACGUCCUACGGGAGAAAGCAGGGGAUCUUCGGACCUUGCGCUAAUAGAUGAGCCUAAGUCGGAUUAGCUAGUUGGUGGGGUAAAGGCCUACCAAGGCGACGAUCUGUAGCGGGUCUGAGAGGAUGAUCCGCCACACUGGGACUGAGACACGGCCCAGA